RNAcentral lists this unclassified non-coding RNA (378 nucleotides) under plant metagenome. RNAcentral describes it as "partial contains 5.8S ribosomal RNA, internal transcribed spacer 2, and large subunit ribosomal RNA". The stretch from base 1 to 105 matches the Rfam family "5.8S ribosomal RNA", at positions 50 to 154 of the family's 154-position model. The record is from RNAcentral.
GAAAUGCGAUAAGUAAUGUGAAUUGCAGAAUUCAGUGAAUCAUCGAAUCUUUGAACGCACCUGGCGCUCCUUGGUAUUCCUUGGAGCAUGCCUGUUUGAGUAUCAUGAAAUCUUCAAAGUAAAUCUUUUGUUAACUCAAUUGGUUUCUACUUUGGUAUUGGAGGUCUUUGCAGCUUCACACCUGCUCCUCUUUGUUCAUUAGCUGGAUCUCAGUGUUAUGCUUGGUUCCACUCGGCGUGAUAAGUUAUCUAUCGCUGAGGACACUGUAAAAGGUGGCCAAGGUAAAUGCAGAUGAACCGCUUCUCAUAGUCCAUUGACUUGGACAAUACUUUUAUGAUCUGAUCUCAAAUCAGGUAGGACUACCCGCUGAACUUAAGC